Molecule: ribosomal RNA, 215 nt
Filed under: Dolichoris sp. 1275_01
Lineage: Eukaryota; Metazoa; Arthropoda; Insecta; Hymenoptera; Agaonidae
Description: partial 28S ribosomal RNA
Rfam family: Eukaryotic large subunit ribosomal RNA
Source: RNAcentral
UUUCCCUCAGGAUAGCUGGCACUCGCUUGAGCGAGUCUCAUCUGGUAAAGCGAAUGAUUAGAGGCCUUGGGGCCGAAACGACCUCAACCUAUUCUCAAACUUUAAAUGGGUGAGACCUCUGGCUUGCUUGAACGUUGAAGCCAAGAGAUUUUAUUGCAAAAUGGAUCAGAGUGCCAAGUGGGCCAAUUUUGGUAAGCAGAACUGGCGCUGUGGGA